CAGACAUUUUAUUUAUUUUAUUUUUAUUUGCUGUAGAGAUGAGGUCUCACCAUGUUGCCCGGGCUGGUUUCAAACUCCUGGCCCCAGGCAGUCCUCCCACAGGGAAACUCAGACAUUGUAAUAACUGCUGGCAAGCAUGGACAAAGGAAAUUCAUAAACACACCUAGAUUAACAGUCAUUUUAAUACUGAGGUAGUCAGUGUUUUCACAGAAUUACAGGUAAAGAUGGUAACCACGUUUUCAUUCCUGAGUUAAACAAGAAAGUACUCACGUGGCAUGAUAAAGAAUCCCUCCUCUAAACCAAUAACCAACAUCAAAAUUAGCAGUGGAAUCAUAAAGUCAUGUGUGAUAGAUGUUUCCAUUAAUGUCCCAGUAAGUCAGACUUUCCAGCAUCCGUGCUCUUGCUAGUUCCCUCCCAUAUUGACGUUGGUUUGGCUUUUGCUUUGCCUUUUGACCUCUUCUACAUCCCCUCAUUCACUCUGCUACUGCUAAACAGGUUAGCGGUGUCAGAAGGGUCUUCCCUCUAUCUGUUCGGUGCCUGGAACAUUCUUGCCCAGAUAUUUGCAUAGGAGCACAGCUGGCUCCCUCAUCUUUUAUUCAGGUCACCUCACGAGGCCACUCCUGUCUAUUUUAAAGCUGCAAGCUUCUUGGUUGCAGUUUUUUUUUCUUUUUGAGACAGGGUCUUGCUCUGUCACCCAGGCUGGAGUGCAGUGGCAUGAUCACGGCUCACUGCAGCCUCAACCCCCCAGGCUCAUGUGAUCCUACCACUUUGGCCUCCAGAGUAGCUGGGACUACAGGUAUAGGCCACCACGCCUGGCUAAUGUUUGUAUUUUUAGUAGAGGUGGGGUUUCACCACCAGAGGUGGGGUUGCCCAGGCUGGUCUCAAACUCCUGACCUCAGGUGAUCAGCCCGCCUCGGCCUCCCAAAGUGCUGGGAUUACAGGUGUGAGCCACCACACCCAGCCAGUCCUCUUUGUCUUAACCUUCACAAGGAAACUUUGAAAUGAUACCCACUUUUUGUUACUGCUUUCCUCAGGCCUUUUCUGUCUUUAAAACCAACCUCUUCUGCUCAGCUUAUUGAACGCUCAUUGUGGGGCCAGGGGCCUAAACUCAUGCCUGUAAUCCCAGCACUUUGGGAGGCCAGGGUUGGCAGAUUGCUUGAGUCCAGGACUUCGAGACCAGCCAGGGCGACAUGGCAAAACCUUGUCUCUACAAAAAAAACUAGCUCUACCCCAAAAACUAGCUGAGUGUGGUGGCACACACCUACCAUCCCAGCUACUGGGGAGGCUGAGGCAAAAGGAUCACUUUAGCCAGGGAGUUGGAGGCAGGAGUGUGCUGAGAUUGCAAUACUGUGCUCCAGCCUGGGCAACAGUGAGACCAUAUCUCAAAAAAAGAGGAAACACUCAUUCUGUUUCACAGAAUGGUUUAGAGAAUGGUGUGUUGCCUGAUUCUAUGAUCACAAGUCAGUUAAGAUCUUUAAAGUAAAUAUUAUUGUCUUUUGGUAAUAGCAAUUAUCACCAUGUAAUGUACUACUUUAAAUUUAUUGUUUAUUGGCUCCUCCACCUCCUCAGCACAGGUACUUUGUGUUUGUUUUCUCAUUUUUUUUUUUUGAGACAGAGUUUCGCUCUUGUUGCCCAAGCUGGAGUGCAAUGUCGUGAUCUCGGCUCACUGCAACCUGUUUCCUGGGUUCAAGUGAUUCUCCUGCCUCAACCUCCCAAGUAGCUGGGAUUACAGGCAUGUGCCACCACGCCCAGCUAAUUUUGUAUUUUUAGUAGAGACAGGGUUUCUCUCUGUUGGUUCUGCUGGUCUCUAACUACUGACCUCAGGUGAUCCGCCCGCCUCUGCCUCCCAAAGUGCUGGGAUUACAGGCGUGAGCCACCGCACCCAGCCAUACUUUUGUUUUAUACUCUGUUGUACCCUCAGCCUAGCACACAUUAGGCACCUAGGAAGAAUUUGAGAAACGAAUCAAUUAAUCUCCACUUUACCAAUAAUGAGCAAGAACAGAAAUUAGGGCCGGGCGCGGUGGCUCACGCCUGUAAUCCCAGCAUUUUGGGAGACCAAGGCAGGUGGAUGAUUUGAGGUCAGGAGUACUAGACUAGACUGGCCAAUAUGAUGAAACCCUGUCUCUAGUAAAAAUACAAAAAUUAGCCGGGUGCGGAGGCUCACACCUGUAAUCCUAGCACUUUGGAAGGCCAAGGCGGGCGGAUCACUUGAGGUCACGAUUCCAAACCAGCCUGGCCAACAUGGUGAAACCCCGUCUCGACUAAAAAUACGAAAAAAUUAGCUGGGCAUGGUGGCGGGCGCCUAUAAUUCCGGCUACUCGAGAGGCUGAGGUGGGAGAAUCGCUUGAACCUAGGAGGCGGAGUUUGCAGUGAGCCGAGAUCACACCACUGCACUCCACUCUGGGUGACAGAGCGCGACUGUCUCAAAAAAGAAAAAAAGAAGACUGAAAAAUUGGGCAACCUGUCCAAGAACACCACAGCGACAAUUAGCAAAGCUGGGAUUCCAACCCAGGUCUAUCUAAGAGCCACAGCAUUGUAUUUUCUUUUCUUUCUUUCUGUGACUGCACCUUUCACCAUAGAUGGCAUCCAGGACUCAGAGCAAUCAGCAUGUAGCUACUGUUUUUAAUAUUCCUUACAUGGGAAUCACAUAAAGAAAGUAAACAGUAUCCAAUUUGUGACUCAACCAUUCAUACUUUGUGACACUGGUUAAUUAUUUCACUUCUGGGUCUCAGUUACGCUUUUUUUUUUUUUUUUUCUUUUUGAGACAGGGUCUCGCUCUGCUCUGUCACCCGGGCUGGAGUUCAGUGGAGGGAUCUCUGCACCCUCAACUUCCUGGGCUAUCAAGCGAUCCUCCCACCUCAGCCUCCCCAGUAGUUGGGACCACAGGUGCCCGCCAUCAUGCCCGGCUGAUUUGUAAAAUUUCUUUUGUAGAGAUGGGGGCUCUCCCUCUGUGGCCCAGGGUGGUCUCGAACUCCUGGCCUCAAGCGAUCCUCCUGCCUGGGCCUCCUAAAGAUUCAGCUGCUUUUGGAUCAAACGAUUGGCUUAAGACCCUUUAACUCGAACACCUGUCACAUCCUAGGAUCCGCGAAGGACUGAAACAGAGUUUCUGAAGCGUCCCUCGGCGCAGUGGCUCCGCUCCACCUCCCAUUCGCGCUUCCACCGUGGCCUCGGCUCCAGGAGUCGCCGCGGUGCCGGCGUCGCCCUCCCGCUGCUGCGCAUCGGGAGCCGGAAGUAGGGACUGAGCCACAGACUAGGAAACGUUGGUUUCUCCGGGGCUCCCCAGCGCCCCAGCUUUAGCGCGGAGGCUACCCUCUUCUAUUUGCUCUUGGGCGUCAGAGCGGCACCCUACUCUGUGUAAGCCUUUGGAUCCCGCUCGCACUUCCUCCCGUCAUCAGCCAAAGGCCCCGGAAGUGAUGUUUGCGCGCCGUGCGUUACGGGCGUGCGCUGGCGGUGCCGGGGGGGCGGGGCAAGCAGGGGGUGUGUGUGAGGCUGGAGCGGACUGGGGAACCCAGACCUGCCGAGCGACGUGGGCGAGCGGUGACCUGGACCACGGCGCAGACGCGGGCGAGCUGCGGCUCGGACGCCAGCGGACACGCGGGCGAGAUCACUUUGGGAAGCAGUGACAUCCAACCUGUAUCAAGUCUUCUAAUCUGUGAACAUGAGAUGGGUCUCGGCUGUGUUACCUAAGCUGGAGUGCAGUGGCUAUUCCCAGCACAAUCAUAGUGCACUACAGUCUCCAACUCCUGGGUUCAGGUGCUCCUUGUGCCUCCGCCUCCUGAAUAGCUGGGAUUGCAGGCAUGUGCCAUCAUGCCUGGCUAUGUGCCUUCAAAAAGACUACAGUUGUGGAUGGAGUGUUUUAUCAAUAUUAGUUGGUUUAUGAUUGUGUUUAGUUCCAUAUCCUAGCUGAUUUUCUAUCUGUUCUGUCCAUUCUUGAAGAGUCCAACUAUAAUUUUGAGUUUGUCUAUUUCUCCUCAAGUUCUGUCAGUUUUGCUGUAUAUAUUUGAGGUCUGUUUUUAGAUGUGUACACAUUUUAAAUGGUGUUGGGUCUUUACCAUUAUGUAAUGUCCCUCUUAAUCUAUUGUAAAUUUCCUUGCUUUGAGGUAUAGUUUGUCUUAUGUAAAUAUAAUCAGUUCAGUUUUCCUUUGACCAGCAUUUACGUAACAUAUCUUUUUCCAUUUUUAAACUUAUAAUCUACCUAUAUUAAAAUAUAUAGUCAGGCCAGGUGCAGCGGCUCAUGCGUGUAAUCCCAGCACUUUGGGAGGCCGAGGCAAGCAGAUCACUUGAGGCCAGGAGUUUGAGACCAGCCUGGGCAACGUGACGAAAACCUGUCUCUACCAAAAAUGCAAAAAAUUAGCUAGGUGUGGCGGCAUGUGCCUGUAGUCCUAGCUACUCAGGAGGCUGAGGCAUGAGGAUCGCUUGAACCUGGGAGGCAGAGGUUGCAGUGAGCCAAGAUGGCACCACUGCACUCCAGGCUGAGUGAAAGAGCAAGACUCUGUCUCAGAAUAAAUAAAUAAAUAAAUAAAACAGCAGCAACAAAAUGUAUAGUCAUGUCUUUUUUUAAAAAAAACUCUUCUGUCAUUGUCUUUUAGUUGGUGUGAAUAGACCAUUUACAUUCAUUGUUAUUGUUGAUGUACUUGGAUUUAGGUCUAUCAUUUUGUUAUUUUCUGUUUGCUCUCUUUUGUUUGUUUGAGACAGGAGACAAGGUCUUGCUCUGUUGCCCGGGCUGGAGUGCAGUGGUGCAAUCUCGGUUCACCACAAGCUCUGUCUCCCAGGCUCAAGUGAUCCUUGUGCCUCAGCCUCCUGAGUAGCUGGCACUACAGGCGACCACUGCCAUACCCCACUAAGUUUUGUAUUUUUAGUAGAGACGGGGUUUCGCCAUGUUGGCCAGGCUAGUCUCAAACUCCUGGCCUCAGGUGAUCCGCCCGCCUCAGCCUCCCAAAGUGCUGGGAUUACAGGCGUGAGCCACUGCAUGUGGCUGCUCUCUGUUUUUUAUGCCUCACUGUUUCCUUUCCUGCCUUCUUUUGGGUUAUUUGACUAUUGCUUAGUAUUCAAUUUUAAUUUAUCAAUUGAUUAUUUUAUUAUAUCUCUUUGUGUAGUGUUCUUUAGUGGUGGCUCUAAGAAUUACAGUAUGUACACCAAACUUUUUACUUUCUGCUUAGAAUUAAUAUUUUACCACUUGUAAAAUGUAGGAACCUGGCUAUCAUGUAGGUUCCUUUCCCCUGUCCUUACUAUGUUGUAGUUAUCAUAUGUAUUGCAU
RNAcentral lists this long non-coding RNA (5257 nucleotides) under Homo sapiens (human). RNAcentral describes it as "PREDICTED lncRNA (TCONS_00237332)". The record is from RNAcentral. Lineage: Eukaryota; Metazoa; Chordata; Mammalia; Primates; Hominidae.